UUACUGUUGGAUAGGCCUUUGUAGGAUUAGAUAAUCGUGGAGAGUCAAUGAUCCUUAGCUGAUCUGAGAGGAUGCACAGUCACAUUGGAACUGAGACAAGGUCCAAGCUCUAAGAGGCAGCAGUGAGGAAUAUUGGGCAAUGGGCGAAAGCUUGACCCAGCGAUACCCCGUAGUUGAAAAGAAAGCUUUUUAAGCCGUAAAUUCUUGAGAUUUUAACAGAUAAUGACAAGAAGUCAAAAAGCCCCGGCUAAAAUUCGUGCCAGCAGCCGCGGUAAGACGAAGGGGGCAAGUGUUAUUCGCAAUGACUGGGCGUAAAGCGUACGUAGGUGGUUUAUACCUUAACUUUUGGUCUAAAAACUAGGGCUUAACCUUAGGUGCUCUAAAAGCAGUAAACUUAUAAAACAUUAGAGGAUAAUAGAAUUUUUGGAUGGAGGGAUCAAAUACUUGGAAACCAAAAGGAAUAUCGAUAGCGAAGGCAAUUAUCUGGAAUGUUUUGAUACUAAAGUACGGAAGCGUAGGUAGCAAAUAGGAUUUGGUACCCUAGUAGUCUACGCUGUCAACCAUGGAUAUUAGUACGGACUGUACAAAGCUAACGCCUUAAAUAUCCCGCCUGGGGAGUACGGUCGCAAGAUUAAAACUUAAAGGAAUUGACGGGAACUUGCACAAGCGGUGGGGCAUGCGGUUUAAUCCGAUAUUACACGUAAAACCUUACCAGUCCUUGACAUUGCAGGAGUUGCAUGGCUGUCGUCAGCCCGUGUUGUGAAAUGUUUGGUUAACUCCUUUAACGGGCGCAACCCUUUAUAACUGCUAUUUGAAAUGAUGGAGGUAGGUGAGGAUCACGCCAAGUCGUCAUGGCCCUUAUGGACUGGGCUACACAUGUGUUACAAGAGUCUAAACAGUAAGAAGCAAUGAAAAUUCGGAGCAAACUAUAAAAUAGAUUGAAGUACGGAUUACUUCCUGGAACUUGGAAGUAUGAAGGAGUAAUCGCUAGUAAUCGCAUAUCAGAAUGGUGCGGUGAAUACGUAACCAAGUUUUGUACACACCGCCCGUCACGCCCGGGAAAACCGUCUUGCUUGAAGUACCUAACGCUGGUAUACUAAAAGUUGUGUACACAAAUGGGUAUGAUAGUGGGGUCAAUAACCGGGGCGAAGUCGUAACAAGGUAGCUGUAUGGGAACCUGUAGCUGGA
RNAcentral lists this ribosomal RNA (1188 nucleotides) under marine bacterium B5-7. Its description in RNAcentral is "bacterial SSU rRNA". It matches the Rfam family "Bacterial small subunit ribosomal RNA", at positions 215 to 1522 of the family's 1533-position model. The record is from RNAcentral. Lineage: Bacteria; Pseudomonadati; Pseudomonadota; Gammaproteobacteria.